This 496-nucleotide ribosomal RNA is filed under the name uncultured bacterium. RNAcentral describes it as "partial 16S ribosomal RNA". It matches the Rfam family "Bacterial small subunit ribosomal RNA", at positions 28 to 506 of the family's 1533-position model. The record is from RNAcentral.
GAUGAACGCUGGCGGCGUGCCUAAUACAUGCAAGUCGAGCGAACAGACGAGGAGCUUGCUCCUCUGACGUUAGCGGCGGACGGGUGAGUAUCACGUGGAUAACCUACCUAUAAGACUGGGAUAACUUCGGGAAACCGGAGCUAAUACCGGAUAAUAUAUUGAACCGCAUGGUUCAAUAGUGAAAGACGGUUUUGCUGUCACUUAUAGAUGGAUCCGCGCCGCAUUAGCUAGUUGGUAAGGUAACGGCUUACCAAGGCAACGAUGCGUAGCCGACCUGAGAGGGUGAUCGGCCACACUGGAACUGAGACACGGUCCAGACUCCUACGGGAGGCAGCAGUAGGGAAUCUUCCGCAAUGGGCGAAAGCCUGACGGAGCAACGCCGCGUGAGUGAUGAAGGUCUUCGGAUCGUAAAACUCUGUUAUUAGGGAAGAACAAAUGUGUAAGUAACGAUGCACGUCUUGACGGUACCUAAUCAGAAAGCCACGGCUAACUACGU